GGAGAGGUUGGGGAGCGGUCAAACCCAGCAGACUGUAAAUCUGCCGUCUCGUACUUCGCAGGUUCGAAUCCUGCCCUCUCCA
RNAcentral lists this transfer RNA (82 nucleotides) under Gammaproteobacteria bacterium. RNAcentral describes it as "tRNA-Tyr". It matches the Rfam family "tRNA". From Rfam's summary of the family: Transfer RNA (tRNA) molecules are approximately 80 nucleotides in length. Their secondary structure includes four short double-helical elements and three loops (D, anti-codon, and T loops). Lineage: Bacteria; Pseudomonadati; Pseudomonadota; Gammaproteobacteria. The record is from RNAcentral. RNAcentral also lists the same sequence under 1 other name.